Molecule: long non-coding RNA, 5159 nt
Organism: Rattus norvegicus (Norway rat)
Lineage: Eukaryota; Metazoa; Chordata; Mammalia; Rodentia; Muridae
Source: RefSeq, a predicted model, not a curated record
UUUAUUAGUUAUCAAGUUAGGAGUCUUUGAGGUGCUUGACAUGAUUAAUCCUAGGGAUUGACAUGCAGCCUCCCUGUCCUCCACAUUCCUAAAACCAUGACCCAGUGUUUACAUCCUCCAGGGCAGCCUAGGUCAUUCCAGAGGGGAAGGUGCUAUGCAGGAUCCCUCAUUAGACUCAUAGUGUACACUCUCGGUACAGAUUACUGUGCACUCUCCCAGUUUCUGAUUUUGUGGGUGAACCUCAGAGCUUGCUUCCCUGAGACUGUAACACAGCAUUGAUAUCGUCUCUGACACAUAGCAUUGAUAUUGUCAACUAGGAACCAUGCCAUUGGAAAUUUGUCCUUCUGGAGUCCGUGGUUCCCAUUAUCUGAACAAAUGGAACUCUUCAGUGACAUCUGCAGGGAAGGAUGGCCUCUCCGAGGCACACUGCACUCUCCCUUGCUUUGGUCCCGCCGAGCCCCAGCAGCUGUUCAGGGCAGAGUGAUGUGAUCCUAGCACUGUGGUUUCAGAGAGUGAAGUAGCAGAUCAGAGGGGCUGUGAUGUGCGGGCGAUGGAAAGCAUGGAUCUGCUAGGUAAAGAACAAGGCUCUGAUUUCUGGCGCCCUCUCCUGCUGGUUCCUGACACGCUCUCCCGGUGCCUUGUUAAUGGCUUUACCAAAUCAGGGAAAGACGCUUGGAAACAAAGGCCCAGCGGCAGGCAUGGGGUUAAAUUAUAAGAGUGUAAGCCAUUUACACUUGAGCAUUGACUCUCAGCUUCAGUGACUUCAUCAAUCUAACGGGGUGGGACAGAGAGCUGGGGCUGGCAGGAUGCGCACCACAACUCUGGGACUGACACAUCCAUUCCAUUCGGCUGGGGUCCUGAGAGCCACUUGUGUCACUGGCCUCCAGACAAGAACCAUGUUCCCAGGAGGGUGGCAGCUACUUACCCUGUUUGCAAUGGUGAUGACACGGUGAGUGGCUUCCGCUUCCAGCUGUUAAAAACAAGGGCGAGAAGGAACCACGGGUUAUCAUUUCCUUCAAGAAGCUGCACCUGCUGGAGAGCUCUCUGCAUAGAAAGUGCCAGGGCAGCUGACACAGCAGAGGGGCUGCCUGCACCCACAGGGGCUGGCAAGACCCUGGCACCAGGCUCCAGCCACCAGGGUUUCCAUGGAAGGAGAAUCCCAAGAUUUAGGAUACCGGAUACCAAGGUGCACCCUUGGCAGAUGAUGCACAGGGCUUAGAAAGUCUUAGGUGGCGUCGGGGCGAUGCCAGGACUUCACAUGAGCCAGGCAAACAUCUACCAACGGAGCUUCAUUCCCAGCCCUGGUGCGGAUUUCUCUACUGACUCUGAGGUGCUCAAGCAGGACAUACAUUUACGCCAGAGACCGACGGGGACAGGACGAAGGUGGGAGAAAUUGGCUCCUGGGUGGUGGUAGGACCACCAUUGGGUCCUACCAAUGUGUGUAGAUCACACUGGGUCUCCUGGAGAUCUAACUACCUCCAUGCUGUAAUUGACUGAUUGACUGAGAUAGACUCUAUGUACCCCAGGCUGGCCCUGAAACCUGAGACCUUUCUGCCUCAGCUUCAUGAGAGCUGGGAAUCAACAGGUUCCACAUCUCCUUCCUAUUACUUUGUGUUUUACGCUUUGGAGAAAGGAGAGGCUGCUUCUGCUGCAAAUGCAAAUGCUGAAAAUGUUUCAACAGGACCCUAGCACAAGAAGACAUUCUUUAUCUAACAUGCUUCUGCCAGAGCAGACUCUCAGCGGCAGACCACUGGAUAUCCAAAUUAGUGCCCUAUGGAACUAAUUUGCACGCAGGGGUACAAAGCAGACAGUAACAGUCCUUUCCUUUGCCUUGGUCUGAGUAAUGGGGCUUGGGGAAACACAUGCUUUGUUUCUGGCGGGAAGGGUUCAAACUCUUCCUCAGUUAGAAUCUAGUUCCCAGAAUGCACAGUCCCGGCUUUGAGCUUGAUUUUCUUCUAACACGCAAAGGCUCUGUCUCUUUUGUCUCCAUAUUCAGUUCUAGAUAAAGUGACCCCGAAAUGAUCUCUCCAAUGCCUUGAAAUUAGAACUAAAUAGGACAUUGUGGGGUUUACCCUGUCCUUCCGAGGAAAGCCAAGGUAGCCCCAGCAUAAAGAAAGCUUUUUCUUGGGAAGCUUCCAGAUGGGAAUUUCACCUAUGGGGUGACAUAUCUUUAUUUUCUUGUAUUUAUUUUCUGAGAGAGGUUCUCAUGUAGCCCAGGCUGGCCCCAAACUUGUUACGAAACAUAUUUUUGACAUCUCUUCUAAAAGAUUCCACGAGUGUUACAGUCUGACAAGUAAUAUUUUCCAUAGUCUCAUGAUACUAAUUUUUGGUCUCUCCAUAGUGGUUGUAUUUCUGGAAUGCAAGAGGCAAGGCUGAGCUGGAGGAAGAAGGUCAUGGAGGGGCGGGGGGAGUGUCUUCCCUUGUCAGUCUCUGGCUACUUCCUGUUUCGCUCUUUUCAUCAAGUGAUCCGUCCUCCUUUGCCACUUGUUCCUGUCACCAUGAGAUUCUGCCCAAGUGGAAACAUCCACUGAGUUUGUUGAAACUAAAGCAUGAGCAAUAAUAAGUAACGGUAAUAAUUAAUAAUGAUAGUUUUCCUCAGCCUUAUUUUCAGUGACAGAAAGCUAACAAACACAGGAAGUCUACAUGAAAGGAAAGCAGCUGACCGUGGACACAGGAAGUUUCUCUUACCUCCUCUGGAUGGCUGAUCUCAAUUCCUUCUGGGCCUGUGAUACCCAAAUCUAGAGCCUCCUUAGCACCCUGAAUAACAGUGAGAAAAAGACAACAGAAUUACAGAGGUACAAGAAACACCCAACCUCAGGGGCAGUAAAGUAUGCUUGCUCUAGGCUCCCUUCUGUACAUUUUCCAUAGGAGAAACCGGCCUCAUGUAGUAAAUAUCUCCUGAUUCUCUUCUCACUUCUUAAGGACUGUAUGACCUCUCUUAUUCUUAAAAAUACAGCCCAGCCGCUAAUCGACAGCCUGGGGACGCCAAAGACAAACACGGGUAGUCGGUUUAAAGUUAGAGCUCUCAUAUCAGCAACUCCUAGGAUUAGCUUCGCCCCAAGACAACCAAGGGUCCAUCCUCUGUACCAGAGAACAAUGUUUAUGAUGUAACCGUUCUGAUACGGAGGUGGAGGGAAUGGAGUGCUGCUAUUUGCUUUGCGUGGCUACAUCUCAAAAAAUACUCCCGAGAGAUGCUCUAAAUGAUUGUGUUAUAAUAGAAUUUAUCAUAACAUAACAUUCACACUUAAUUAUCAUCUAAGACGUAGAAACCUCUUGGUGUGUGUGUGUGUGUGUGUGUGUGUGUGUGUGUGAAAAUUUGACACCCCAGAUGUUCACACCUCUCACCAUCUUACUGCUUGGUUUAAGUGAGCCUUGAAGGACAGUGACAGGUGGUCAACGUGUCCCUGUAAACUAUCUCCAUUGCCCACCCCCCCACGACCUCAAUUGCAGACUUGCCUCAGCCACAAGCUCCCCAUUUUCUGCGUGGACCCGGGGGAUCGCCCCAAAGUCCCUGCAGGCAUGGAACACUUGGUACAGCUCACUGUCUCGAAGCAUGUACAAGUCCUUGUAGGUCAUGAACAUCUGGAAGGAGUUGACCCCUUUCUCUCGCACUAGUGUCUCCAUUUCUGCUUUCACCUGGAAAGCAAGGUGCAAAGUCAGUGCCCAGUAAGACGAGCAGGUGCUGGCCCAGUGGAGAGAUGGGGCAGGUCCCAGGUCGGUGCUGUGAACUCCCAGUACACGCAGGCCACAGCCUUCUGCCUGAGCUGAUCAUUCAGCAGUAAUCCCCACUCGAUGUUCCAGGUACCUCAUGUAUACAUCGGGAUAUCCUGAGCACUGCAGGGAGCCAGUGCUCCAGAGUCUGGCCUUAGACUCUGUUGCAACUUGAUGCUCACUGUGAAUGCUGGGAAAUGGGCUCUUUCAGUGAGGCAGGACAGGCCUGCUCACUAUUUUCAUGGACUCCUAAAGGUUUUGUUUGGGACAUAGGGAAGCUGGAAUGGUGGUGGGUGAGGUUCCUGCAUAAAGAAGGGCUUCAGGGCCCAGCCAGCUCAGUCACACACCUAUUCUGACACCAGCCCUCUGGUGCCUUCCUUGGGGGGCUUCAGCACUGUUACCUUGGGUGCCCACCAGGUGAUCCCCACAUGGAGGGCAUAGUCACAGCAGACCUUGGGGUCAGCUAGAGCCCUGCACUUCUCAUAGGCUUCCACGAGGGAGGUCUCCUUGUCAGGCAGGACGUGACCGAUGAUCAUGGUGGUGCCUCCGACGAGGGCUGCCUGAAGGAAGAGGGAGGGAAGGCGGUCUUGUCACAGCUCUGCCUGAACUCGUCACCAUCAUGGUGAGACACGGUGUUCAGGUGCACCCGGAACAACCAGGGAGGAUCAAACACAGUAAGGUCUGCUCAGGGGAGGCUCAGAGGUGUGAUGGAUGAUUUUCUUUAGACCCGUGGGUUGAGCAAAUAAACCUGCUUCUUCCUCACUAGGUUGGUUCUUUGGAAAAAGCACUUAGCAUACUGGGGAGUCCAAGCCUGACCGCUACCUUCCCGACAGGGUUUCUCGGUGUAGCCCUGGCUGUUCUGGAACUCACUCUGAGACCACGCUGGCCCCAAACUCGGAGAUCUGCCUGCCUUUGCCUGCUGAGUGCUGGGAUUAAAGGCAGUGCCACCACUGUCUGGAUUUUCUGUCACUUCUUAUGAAGCAGUUUUACUUAACUUGGAAGUAAAAAUGAGUGGGUCAAAAUUCACAAAAUAAAGUACUGUUUUGGUAUGGGAGUUUUCAAAAAAAAAAAUUCACCUGCAUCUUCCAUAUCAGCCCCUGGUCCCCAUGUCCCCUCCCUGAGCACAUGAGCACCCCUUUAAAAUAGAUUUAUUUAUUUAUUUAUUUAUUUAUUUAUUUAUUUGGAGUACACUGUAGCUGUCUUCAGACACCCCAGAAGAGGGCAUCAGAUCCCAUUACAGAUGGUUGUGAGCUGCCAUGUGGUUGUUGGGAUUUGAACUCAAGACCUCUGAGCAGUCACCCAAAGGUCAGGGUUGUAAAGAAGUCCGACGAAGUUGUCUUCUCUAUAAAGUCAAAUUCCCUGAUCACAAGCCAGAGACACUCCUGGGGACUAAGGCCCAGAAAAUGAGUCAAGCAGCCAAACAACAAUUAAGAAUGAAAACUCUCAGA